ACAACUUUUUAUCUCUUUACAGGCCGAACUUUCUUUUAAUACGAACAGACAAAAUGGCCGCACAGAAAGUGUUCUCAAUCAAUGGUUUAUGGUUCAAGAGGAGCUUUGUGUGGUAAAAUAUACGCGUCAUGUACUUAUGUGUAUAUAUAAAUACAUAUGUACACAUAUAUCUCGAUAAUACAUCAAUCCACGUAUACUACGCGUCAUACAUAUUCAAAAUGGCCGACCUGCAAUUUUCAUGGCGGCCCCCUAAAAGGGUUAACGAAAAAAAAGAACUGAUCAUUUUCGUGAAUACACGGCGAACGAUCCUAACGUUACUGUGGUAAAGGACAAUAUAUAUCUAAUCAUAGACGGACAAUGGAUAUAUUUAUAUCUUCUACGUCCGAACAUAUGUAUACAUAUGAAUUAAAGGAAUCAUAUAUUCAUCGUCAUGGGAACUCGGACGAAUCAAGAGACUCAGCUGGAUAAUAACAGUGGUUGGUUCCUGGAUCCAUUAAAGCGAAUAUAACGUACAGCAUUAUCUGCCAAUUUUAAUAUGGACCAGUAUAGAAGAAGCU
Molecule: long non-coding RNA, 557 nt
Organism: Cephus cinctus (wheat stem sawfly)
Lineage: Eukaryota; Metazoa; Arthropoda; Insecta; Hymenoptera; Cephidae
Exons: 3
Source: RefSeq, a predicted model, not a curated record